GUGGGGAAUAUUGGGCAAUGGGCGCAAGCCUGAUCCAGCAAUGCCGCGUGGGUGAAGAAGGUCUUCGGAUCGUAAAGCCCUUUCGACAGGGACGAUGAUGACGGUACCUGUAGAAGAAGCCCCGGCUAACUUCGUGCCAGCAGCCGCGGUAAUACGAAGGGGGCUAGCGUUACUCGGAAUUACUGGGCGUAAAGGGCGCGUAGGCGGCUCUGUUAGUCAGGCGUGAAAUUCCUGGGCUUAACCUGGGGACUGCGCUUGAUACUGCAGGGCUUGAGGCCGAGAGAGGGUGGUGGAAUUCCCAGUGUAGAGGUGAAAUUCGUAGAUAUUGGGAAGAACACCGGUGGCGAAGGCGACCACCUGGCUCGGUUCUGACGCUGAGGCGCGUCAGCGUGGGGAGCAAGCAGGAUUAGAUACCCUUGUAGUCC
RNAcentral lists this ribosomal RNA (425 nucleotides) under uncultured bacterium. RNAcentral's name for it is "partial 16S ribosomal RNA". It matches the Rfam family "Bacterial small subunit ribosomal RNA", at positions 354 to 796 of the family's 1533-position model. The record is from RNAcentral.